Chlorocebus sabaeus (green monkey) is the source of this 77-nucleotide microRNA precursor. NCBI's taxonomy places the organism in Eukaryota, Metazoa, Chordata, Mammalia, Primates, Cercopithecidae. The record is from Ensembl.
UGGUGAUUUUGAGCAUGGCUAUCAACCACUCAACCUGGAAAAAGCUGAGUGAUUGAUAGCUAUGUUCAAAAUCACCA